Molecule: ribosomal RNA, 468 nt
Filed under: uncultured bacterium
Lineage: Bacteria
Description: partial 16S ribosomal RNA
Rfam family: Bacterial small subunit ribosomal RNA
Source: RNAcentral
GGGGGGGGGGGGGGGGGGGGUGGGGGGGGGGGGGGCGGGGGGGAGGGCCCUGCUGGGGGGGGGUGCUCGAGUGGCGGACGGGUGAGUGACACGUGAGUGACCUGCCCUUGACUUUGGGAUAACUUCAGGAAACUGGGGCUAAUACCGGCUAGGAGCUCCUGCUGCAUGGUGGGGGUUGGAAAGUUUCGGCGGUUGGGGAUGGACUCGCGGCUUAUCAGCUUGUUGGUGGGGUAGUGGCUUACCAAGGCUUUGACGGGUAGCCGGCCUGAGAGGGUGACCGGCCACAUUGGGACUGAGAUACGGCCCAGACUCCUACGGGAGGCAGCAGUGGGGAAUAUUGCACAAUGGGCGGAAGCCUGAUGCAGCAACGCCGCGUGCGGGAUGACGGCCUUCGGGUUGUAAACCGCUUUCGCCUGUGACGAAGCGUGAGUGACGGUAAUGGGUAAAGAAGCACCGGCUAACUACGUG